Molecule: RNA transcript, 853 nt
Organism: Fragaria vesca subsp. vesca
Lineage: Eukaryota; Viridiplantae; Streptophyta; Magnoliopsida; Rosales; Rosaceae
Exons: 2
Source: RefSeq, a predicted model, not a curated record
CCUCAACUUCCAGAACCUCUACUUCCAUCAGUCUUGCAGAGCAGGGAGCAGAUAACUGCCUUCCUGGGCAGGUAAUUGAUACAACUUCAAACGCUUUCUUGGGUCACUUAUAAUACUGACGAUCAGUACUGGACAGAUGCAUAUAAAAGUUGGCUACAGGAUCACCCCCAAAAGGAGAUUGAUCUAAAAAAGACGUGCGCCAAGAAUGAAUGGGCAAAAAGAGCCUUGAACUUCAGACCCUAUUCAAAUGAUGAUCCGAUUGAUGAACUUUUUUUGGUGCGAAACUUCAUAGCUCACUUCAAUCAAUGCAAGAGCAAAAGAUGUUCCUACUCCUCUAGAUACCUUCGACAAGGUUCAGAUUGGAGAGGUAGUGUUUGACCUCUUCCCCCACAUAGUUUCCAAUCUCUUUGACUUCAUGUACACAUGUGGAGUGUACAUGGAUUUCUUACAUGUCCGUACGUACUACAGCGACUAAGCAGCAGUUACAUCGUUUCGGAGUGGACAAGUAUUUGACAUAAUCCUUUCCGCAUCAUCAUCUAGUUUCUGUUCCAAGUUGAAAGGUCUGAUUCUGAGGAAUACUGUGUAAAAACUUAGGACCAAUCGCACUGUGUAAAUCAUUUUUCCCUGAAGUGUAAAGGACCACUUGCUUGAUGGUCUUAUUGGGAAAUGGUUGCCACUCUUUUGUUAAGACUUGAGAGAGAGAAGCUUCCUUUAGAACUCAUAUCUCACAUGCUGUGCUAAGCCACAGUCUAUUCUGUGUUCAUCACACUCUUAGACCUUCAAGCCAUUUUUUGUAUAUCUGUUUCACAGUCUUGAUCAUUUACCUUCAUUAAUUCUAUCAUACUAUGUCCUU